RNAcentral lists this non-coding RNA (24 nucleotides) under Arabidopsis thaliana (thale cress). Lineage: Eukaryota; Viridiplantae; Streptophyta; Magnoliopsida; Brassicales; Brassicaceae. The record is from RNAcentral.
AUCCUAGAACCGUAAUCGCUCUGA